GGUGGGUUGGCAGAAUGGCAAUGCGCCGGUCUUGAAAACCGGUGGGUGAAAGCCCUUGCAGGUUCGAGUCCUGCACCCACCG
This 82-nucleotide transfer RNA is filed under the name Candidatus Berkelbacteria bacterium. RNAcentral's name for it is "tRNA-Ser". It matches the Rfam family "tRNA". Rfam says of the family: Transfer RNA (tRNA) molecules are approximately 80 nucleotides in length. Lineage: Bacteria; Candidatus Berkelbacteria. The record is from RNAcentral.